UACGGGGGGGAGCAAGCGUUGUUCGGAUUUACUGGGCGUAAAGGGCGCGUAGGCGGCGUGACAAGUCACUUGUGAAAUCUCCGGGCUUAACUCGGAACGGUCAAGUGAUACUGUCGUGCUAGAGUACAGAAGGGGCAACUGGAAUUCUCGGUGUAGCGGUGAAAUGCGCAGAUAUCAGGAAGAACACCAAUGGCGAAGGCAGCUCUCUGGGACGGUACUGACGCUGAGACGCGAAAGCGUGGGGAGCGAACAGG
Molecule: ribosomal RNA, 254 nt
Filed under: uncultured bacterium
Lineage: Bacteria
Description: partial 16S ribosomal RNA
Rfam family: Bacterial small subunit ribosomal RNA
Source: RNAcentral